GAUCAUGGCUCAGGAUGAACGCUGGCGGCGUGCCUAACACAUGCAAGUCGAGCGAUCUCUUCGGAGAGAGCGGCGGACGGGUGAGUAACGCGUGGGUAACCUGCCCUGUACACACGGAUAACAUACCGAAAGGUAUGCUAAUACGGGAUAAUAUAUAAGAGUCGCAUGACUUUUAUAUCAAAGAUUUUUCGGUACAGGAUGGACCCGCGUCUGAUUAGCUUGUUGGCGGGGUAACGGCCCACAAGG
This 246-nucleotide ribosomal RNA is filed under the name uncultured bacterium. Its description in RNAcentral is "partial 16S ribosomal RNA". It matches the Rfam family "Bacterial small subunit ribosomal RNA", at positions 15 to 273 of the family's 1533-position model. The record is from RNAcentral.